UUGAGCCGUUCCAAUAUCACA
Molecule: microRNA, 21 nt
Filed under: Cucumis melo (muskmelon)
Lineage: Eukaryota; Viridiplantae; Streptophyta; Magnoliopsida; Cucurbitales; Cucurbitaceae
Source: RNAcentral